GGAUUCUUUCAGUCCAAAAAUUGGCUUAGUUGAAAAAGUAAAGAGAAGGAAUCUGAUCUUAAGAUGAAGCAACAGAAUAAAGAAACAAGCUGAACCAACAGAAAAGCAACGGCUGUUCUUGGAACUAGGGCAAGGGACCACAUGAAAACUGACAGAACAGGGGAUAAGAGCCACGACUGCCCAAGGACACAGACCACAAGAAGGCUGAGACUCUGUGCUAAGACGUUAGAACAACACCUUUCCUCAGGUCACCACUGCACCCACAGAGAACAGACACAACCUCAGGCGAAGACAAAAUGCAAGGUGGAGACUGAAUCUGAGGAGAUCUAAGGAAAACACGAAUGAAAAGAGUUAAAAACAAGGUCUUUAAAGGAGAUUAAAGCCAGGGAUACUUUUAGCUGUUCAGUGGUAGAGAAAGUCCAAC
RNAcentral lists this long non-coding RNA (424 nucleotides) under Fukomys damarensis (Damara mole-rat). RNAcentral's name for it is "lncRNA (ENSFDAG00000030692.1)". Lineage: Eukaryota; Metazoa; Chordata; Mammalia; Rodentia; Bathyergidae. The record is from RNAcentral.